UAGGGAAUCUUCCGCAAUGGACGCAAGUCUGACGGAGCAACGCCGCGUGAGUGAAGAAGGAUUUCGGUUCGUAAAACUCUGUUGUUAGAGAAGAACAGCGCAUAGAGUAACUGUUAUGCGUGUGACGGUAUCUAACCAGAAAGCCACGGCUAACUACGUGCCAGCAGCCGCGGUAAUACGUAGGUGGCAAGCGUUGUCCGGAUUUAUUGGGCGUAAAGCGAGCGCAGGCGGUCAAUUAAGUCUGAUGUGAAAGCCCCCGGCUCAACCGGGGAGGGUCAUUGGAAACUGGUUGACUUGAGUGCAGAAGAGGAGAGUGGAAUUCCAUGUGUAACAGUGAAAUGCGUAGAUAUAUGGAGGAACACCAGUGGCGAAGGCGACUCUCUGGUCUGUAACUGACGCUGAGGCUCGAAAGCGUGGGUAGCAAACAGG
RNAcentral lists this ribosomal RNA (429 nucleotides) under Bacteroidota bacterium. Its description in RNAcentral is "Bacteroidetes bacterium partial 16S ribosomal RNA". It matches the Rfam family "Bacterial small subunit ribosomal RNA", at positions 355 to 776 of the family's 1533-position model. The record is from RNAcentral. Lineage: Bacteria; Pseudomonadati; Bacteroidota.